This 377-nucleotide ribosomal RNA is filed under the name uncultured bacterium. RNAcentral describes it as "bacterial SSU rRNA". It matches the Rfam family "Bacterial small subunit ribosomal RNA", at positions 523 to 898 of the family's 1533-position model. The record is from RNAcentral.
AUACGGGGGGAGCAAGCGUUAUCCGGAAUUACUGGGCGUAAAGGGCGCGUAGGCGGGCCUUUAAGUCAGGUCUAAAAUCCAACAGCUUAACUGUUGAUUCGGACCUGAAACUGGAGACCUUGAGUGCAAGAGAGGAAAGCGGAAUUCCUGGUGUAGCGGUGAAAUGCGUAGAUAUCAGGAAGAACACCGGUGGCGAAGGCGGCUUUCUGGCUUGCUACUGACGCUGAUGCGCGAAAGCGUGGGGAGCGAACAGGAUUAGAUACCCUGGUAGUCCACGCCCUAAACGUUGUACACUUGGUGUCGGAAGAUCUAACCCUUUCGGUGCCGCAGCUAACGCGUUAAGUGUACCGCCUGGGGACUACGGUCGCAAGGCUGAA